This 1503-nucleotide long non-coding RNA is filed under the name Brachypodium distachyon (stiff brome). RNAcentral's name for it is "long non-coding RNA (BDIS_LNC001063)". Lineage: Eukaryota; Viridiplantae; Streptophyta; Magnoliopsida; Poales; Poaceae. The record is from RNAcentral.
CAUCCUACCCCAACUAUACAACUGAAGAUAAACACCUAUUUAAAAACGAUCUCUGCUAGCCAGCAGCAGCAGGUUCAUGUCAACAGAUGGAUCUUUGCAUCCUCACUGGUCAUGAGCUUGUGGCAAUUGGCGAAUAGCACGAUCACAGCAGCAGCAGGUUCAUGUCAACAGAUGGAUCUUUGCAUCCUUACUGGUCAUGAGCUUGUGGCAACUGGCAAAUAGCACGAUCUGAAAAGAUAGAACGGACAAAAGUUAUGAACAUGCCACAGCUCAACAUGCUCACCUAUGAGGAACAAUCAUGACAUACGCAAGAUUGGGUUUGGAAGGUCUUCUUCACAUUGGACUACAAAUACAAGCUCCUAGUUAUACGUAUCUAGCUAAUAAAUACUCUCUUGAUCUUCCUUAUUAUCAUCUAUCUAGCAAAUUUCCAGAAUAGUCCUUGACAAGUUGAACUUGAACCAAACCAAAAGUAGGUAAGAGCAACUUGGAAAUACCAGCAUCAGGGGAGGACCCAGGACAAAAAUUACCCGGAUUCCGCAUAUACAUCAAAUAGGCAUGGAUAUUAAGAGAUACACUCUUUCCUUUUCACAAAAGUUGGUGUAUUUGGUUUCGUUAAGGCAAGACUUUGACUGAGAAUUAUUUUCUUAAUACAUAAAAUUUAUAUAAAUAGAUUUGUCUUCAAAAGUUCUUGCUGAUGAUUGUGGUUUCCUAUCAUAUAAACUACAUAUUAAUAAAGUUAUUGUUGAUCAAAGUCUUGUCUUAACGAAAUCAAAUAUGCCAACCUUUGUGAAAAUAAGGGAGUAGUAUAAUAGUAUAGCACUUAACAAUUAAAAUUAUUAGGCUGAGAUGAAGCAAUGGAAAUCCUUGCCAAAGUACGUGAAGGAGUUUCACUUAAAAUAUAAUUUGACAAUAAAAAUUGAGCAAUAAAGCAUCAGACAAAUGAAGACGUGUGUGAACUAUCUAUUGUAUGACUAAAACAGAAGGACAUGAAGUCACCAUAUUUGUCCGCAUAUAUAUAACCGUGUCCUUAGGAAGGGAAACCAAUGAAAAGCUUAAUUAAUAUAGAUAGGAUAAAAUUAUACUUCUUUGAAACUGCGACAAAAAUCUAUAAUAAGUCUAACCACACAAACACAUGGAUCACUUGGCUAGAUCCCAAAAAAUGACACGGCAGUACGUGAACUGAAGAUUGAUCGAUCAAUGAAACAACCGACUGCCUGCCUGCCUGCAGAAAACCUGAGUUUUACCACUCGCGAACUGGACGUUUGUUGGCUGAGGGUGUCCAUCCAACAAAUUUAGGGGUGUCCAGCAUCCAUGGGGUUUAUGUACUUAGGCAUAACGAAGUUUUCUACCCGGUGUCCAGUGCACCAGGCUGGCCCUACGUGGGUCAGCCCCUGCCAGUAUCCACAUUUUUAUCUUGCUAACAAAAACAGUAUUUACGGUGUCUGACUGAACAUUCAAGGUAACAACUAAAGACAACAACUGAUCUGACCAAGAUGCUUCUAC